Molecule: non-coding RNA, 74 nt
Organism: Myotis brandtii (Brandt's bat)
Lineage: Eukaryota; Metazoa; Chordata; Mammalia; Chiroptera; Vespertilionidae
Source: Rfam
CUUGAGGGGGGGGGUCCCCUCAGUCCAGAUUGCAAGAGGGCGCAGGCCAGGCUGAGGGGCCCCACUGGUGCAGG